UACGGGGCAUGCCUUAGUACGGCGAGUGAAGCGGCAAAAGCUCAAAUUUGAAAUCUGGUACCUUCGGUGCCCGAGUUGUAAUUUGGAGAGGGCAACUUUGGGGCCGUUCCUUGUCUAUGUUCCUUGGAACAGGACGUCAUAGAGGGUGAGAAUCCCGUGUGGCGAGGAGUGCGGUUCUUUGUAAAGUGCCUUCGAAAAGUCGAGUUGUUUGGGAAUGCAGCUCUAAGUGGGUGGUAAAUUCCAUCUAAAGCUAAAUAUUGGCGAGAGACCGAUAGCGAACAAGUACAGUGAUGGAAAGAUGAAAAGAACUUUGAAAAGAGAGUGAAAAAGUACGUGAAAUUGUUGAAAGGGAAGGGCAUUUGAUCAGACAUGGUGUUUUGUGCCCUCUGCUCCUUGUGGGUAGGGGAAUCUCGCAUUUCACUGGGCCAGCAUCAGUUUUGGUGGCAGGAUAAAUCCAUAGGAAUGUAGCUUGCCUCGGUAAGUAUUAUAGCCUGUGGGAAUACUGCCAGCUGGGACUGAGGACUGCGACGUAAGUCAAGGAUGCUGGCAUAAUGGUUAUAUGCCGCCCUCUAAAACCGGGACCAAAACCCAAACAAAAAAGAAAAAAAAAAAAAAAAAAAA
This 621-nucleotide ribosomal RNA is filed under the name Saccharomyces cerevisiae (brewer's yeast). RNAcentral's name for it is "partial 26S ribosomal RNA". It matches the Rfam family "Eukaryotic large subunit ribosomal RNA", at positions 67 to 664 of the family's 3401-position model. Lineage: Eukaryota; Fungi; Ascomycota; Saccharomycetes; Saccharomycetales; Saccharomycetaceae. The record is from RNAcentral.